This 73-nucleotide transfer RNA is filed under the name Sphaerobolus stellatus SS14. Its description in RNAcentral is "tRNA-Ile (TAT) (tRNA-Ile-TAT-10-1)". It matches the Rfam family "tRNA". From Rfam's summary of the family: Transfer RNA (tRNA) molecules are approximately 80 nucleotides in length. The record is from Rfam by way of RNAcentral. Lineage: Eukaryota; Fungi; Basidiomycota; Agaricomycetes; Geastrales; Sphaerobolaceae.
GACCCUAUAGCUCAGUUGGUAGAGCAUCCUAGAUAUUAUGGGAAGGUCCUAGGUUCAAAUCCUGGUGUGGUCA